UGACGGGUUCUUUGAAUACGGGUGGGGGAAAAAAAGAAAAGCAGCAUCCACCACGGCACCACCAUCUUUGUUAGAGAAGCUGCACAAAUCUUCGCUUCUUCUCUAUUCCGGUGCUCACACAGAUCACACGCAAGUCUUUAGAUUCAGGAUCUAUGGACGCCAACCGUAACAACACCACCAAAGGAAAGAAAGCUAACAGUAGCAGCAGCACUGAUCCCAGUAUGGAGAGUGAGAGUAAAUAUCUGCCUGAGCUGCUGGCGGAGAAAGACAGCCUGGAUGCGUCGUUCACUCACGCCAUGAAACUGCUCACUGCAGAGAUAGAAAGAAUUCAGAAAGGCGAGCCAAAAAAAGAUGGAGAAACGUAUCUGGACCUGUUCACCACCAAAAACGUGCGGGUGAAAGAACGGGUGCUUAUUCCUGUAAAACAGUAUCCUCGGUUCAACUUUGUGGGAAAGAUUCUUGGACCCCAGGGAAGCACCAUUAAAAGACUGCAAGAGGACACCGGAGCCAAGAUUUCAGUCUUGGGCAAAGGCUCCAUGAGAGACAAGAACAAGGAAGAAGAGCUGAGGAAGGGAGGGGAGCCCAAAUACGCUCACCUGUCCAUGGAGCUGCACGUGUACAUUGAAGUGUUUGCGCCAAUCCCUGAAUGUUACAUGCGCAUGGCUCACGCUAUGGACGAGGUCAAGAAGUUCCUCAUGCCUGUGGACAACAUGGACGAGAUGCAUCAGGAUCCCUUCAUGGAUGUCGGGUAUCUAAACGGCGCUCAAGACGCGCCCACUCGUGGCCGUGGAGGCCCUGGUCGGGGCCGCGGUGGCCCACCACUUCCCAUGCUCGGAGCCAGGGGUCGUGGCAUGCUCCAGCGUGGCGGUGCUCCUCGUGGCGGUGCCCCCAGAGGAGGCCCAGGAAGAGGUGGAGCAGCCAGAGGAGCGCCUGUCGGCCGGGGUGGACAUCCUUCUGCCUCGUCUAACCGCGGGGGGGCAGCAGGACGGUCCCGACCCCCCACUGCGUCACAGAGGAUGGCACCUGCAUCCGCACUCUCUCACCAGCAGCAUCAAGCCCCAGAGUCGUACGAGGAAUACUCGUAUGACGAGAGCUACACUGAAACUCCAUACGAAGGUUAUGAGAACUAUUACAACCAGUCUGCCCCACAGGGAGAAACCGAAUAUUAUGACUAUGGUCAUGGGGAGGCUAAUGAAAACUAUGAAUCAUACGCUGAGGAUGAUUGGGAAGGUGCUGCGUGGGGGAGUGGAGGAAAAGCUCCUCCUGCUCGCCAGAAUAAAGGAAACUACCGUGAACAUCCGUACGGAAGAUUCUGAGAGGUGUCGCACACUCGGGUUGCCUGGGCAACCGCCUCCAAUUGUAACUCCUUUUAACAGCUCAAAAUGCUGACUGAUGGCGACUAAAAGCAGACUCUGGACUUUACACUGACCACCUCAGCGCAUGACCCCUAAAAGUAGGAUCGGGUUCGAUUGGGACGUCUUCUGGAAUUGUUUGCUUUUCCACAGGUUAAAUAUUAAACCCCAGCAAGAUGGAUGAAUUUUUUUGUCAAAUGUUAUAUUAUUUGUUGGUUUUUUUUUAAUUAUUAUUUAUUUUAUACAUUUUUUUAAAGAUUUCUACAGAUACACAGUAUUUUUGUAUGAAUUUUGUAUGUUAAAUAAUCAAUAAAUGACUUUAUUACAAAGUUAAAGGCAAAAA
Tachysurus fulvidraco (yellow catfish) is the source of this 1695-nucleotide RNA transcript. It is a transcript of the gene named KH domain containing, RNA binding, signal transduction associated 1a, with no coding region annotated. The record is from RefSeq and is a predicted model, not a curated record. The transcript has 11 exons. Lineage: Eukaryota; Metazoa; Chordata; Actinopteri; Siluriformes; Bagridae.